ACUGGUGUGAUGAUGUGUCA
RNAcentral lists this non-coding RNA (20 nucleotides) under Arabidopsis thaliana (thale cress). Lineage: Eukaryota; Viridiplantae; Streptophyta; Magnoliopsida; Brassicales; Brassicaceae. The record is from RNAcentral.